CCUACGGGUGGCACCAGUGAGGAAUUUUGCGCAAUGGGGGUAACCCUGACGCAGCUACGCCGCGUGAGUGAAGAAGGCCUUCGGGUCGUAAAGCUCUGUCAAGUGGGAAGAAACCGCCUCAGGUCAACCGGCUGAUGCGCUGACGGUACCACUGAAGGACGCACCGGCUAACUUCGUGCCAGCAGCCGCGGUAAUACGGAGGGUGCAAGCGUUAUUCGGAAUCACUGGGCGUAAAGGGCGCGCAGGCGGCUGGGCAAGUCAGUAGUGAAAGCCCGGGGCUCAACCCCGGAAGUGCUGCUGAAACUUUCUGGCUUGAGUAUGGUAGAGGGAAGCUGAAUUCCUGGUGUAGCGGUGAAAUGCGUAGAUAUCAGGAGGAACACCGGUGGCGAAGGCGGCUUCCUGGACCAAUACUGACGCUGAGGCGCGAAGGCGUGGGUAGCAAACAGGAUUAGAUACCCUAGUAGUC
RNAcentral lists this ribosomal RNA (466 nucleotides) under uncultured bacterium. RNAcentral describes it as "bacterial SSU rRNA". It matches the Rfam family "Bacterial small subunit ribosomal RNA", at positions 338 to 795 of the family's 1533-position model. The record is from RNAcentral.